RNAcentral lists this ribosomal RNA (111 nucleotides) under Porphyromonas gingivalis. The record is from RNAcentral. Lineage: Bacteria; Pseudomonadati; Bacteroidota; Bacteroidia; Bacteroidales; Porphyromonadaceae. RNAcentral also lists the same sequence under 1 other name.
UCAGGUGGCUAUAGCGCCGGGGCUCCACCUCUUCCCAUUCCGAACAGAGAAGUUAAGCCCGGCCGCGCCGAUGGUACUGCGUAACAGUGGGAGAGUAGGUAGCCGCCACUU